RNAcentral lists this ribosomal RNA (113 nucleotides) under Chinchilla lanigera (long-tailed chinchilla). The record is from RNAcentral. Lineage: Eukaryota; Metazoa; Chordata; Mammalia; Rodentia; Chinchillidae.
GUCUAUGGCCAUACCACCCUGAACUCGCCCAAUUUGUCCGAUCUGCGAAGCUAAGCAGGGUCUAGUCUUGUUAGUAGUUGGACAGAUGGGAGAAAAAUGAAUAAUUAUGUUCA